UGGGGAAUCUUCCGCAAUGGGCGAAAGCCUGACGGAGCAACGCCGCGUGAGUGAUGACGGCCUUCGGGUUGUAAAGCUCUGUGAUCGGGGACGAACGGUCGGCAGACGAAUAAUCUGCUGAAUUGACGGUACCCGAAUAGCAAGCCACGGCUAACUACGUGCCAGCAGCCGCGGUAAUACGUAGGUGGCAAACGUUGUCCGGAAUUAUUGGGCGUAAAGCGCGCGCAGGCGGCUUCUUAAGUCCAUCUUAAAAGUGCGGGGCUUAACCCCGUGAUGGGAUGGAAACUGAGAGGCUGGAGUAUCGGAGAGGAAAGUGGAAUUCCUAGUGUAGCGGUGAAAUGCGUAGAGAUUAGGAAGAACACCGGUGGCGAAGGCGACUUUCUGG
This 385-nucleotide ribosomal RNA is filed under the name uncultured bacterium. RNAcentral's name for it is "bacterial SSU rRNA". It matches the Rfam family "Bacterial small subunit ribosomal RNA", at positions 355 to 732 of the family's 1533-position model. The record is from RNAcentral.